GACGGAGGAUGCAAGCGUUAUCCGGAAUGAUUGGGCGUAAAGCGUCCGCAGGUGGCAGUUCAAGUCUGCUGUCAAAGACCGGGGCUUAACUUCGGAAAGGCAGUGGAAACUGAACAGCUAGAGUAUGGUAGGGGCAGAGGGAAUUCCUGGUGUAGCGGUGAAAUGCGCAGAUAUCAGGAGGAACACCAACGGCGAAGGCAGCUUGCUGGGACGGUACUGACGCUGAGGCGCGAAAGCGUGGGGAGCGAACAGG
This 253-nucleotide ribosomal RNA is filed under the name uncultured bacterium. Its description in RNAcentral is "partial 16S ribosomal RNA". It matches the Rfam family "Bacterial small subunit ribosomal RNA", at positions 524 to 776 of the family's 1533-position model. The record is from RNAcentral.